GUGAACGGGCGGGGCUUGUUAGAACGACUGUGCUUUUUGUGGAGAAAGGCUAAGGAUACAUGGUAUCAUGUUGUGGAUCAAUUAGGUUUCUCAGAUGAAGAGAGAUUAAGAAAAUUGCAAGAGUUGAGAGCUGAUUUGGAGAUGGAAAUGGCAUCUUAUAAAGAAGGGAGGGCAAGAGGUGCUGGUGUAGCUUUUGUGGUAUUUAAGGACGUAUUCACAGCUAAUAAGGCUGUCCAGGACCUCCGGAAUGAGAAGAGGAGGCGAUAUGGUCGAUUCUUCUCAGUCAUUGAGUUGCAACUACAGAGGAACCAGU
This 313-nucleotide unclassified non-coding RNA is filed under the name Hevea brasiliensis (rubber tree). Lineage: Eukaryota; Viridiplantae; Streptophyta; Magnoliopsida; Malpighiales; Euphorbiaceae. The record is from RNAcentral.